AGCAAAAUAAGAUGGAUGUGGAAUUCCUUUGCUUUUUGAAAUUUAUUGACUAAGAAUGGGAAACAGGUGUGAGAUGGCAAGAUGUCAGCAGUCGUUUUGUGCUUCUUGUCCACUGACUCUGAGUGAUCAGAAAAUAAGUAUUUAUGGAUGUCUGAGACAGUCUUCCUGGCAAGUAAAUAUGGACUCUGAUUUUUAUCAAUUUGUAAUUGAUAAUGUCUUUAGCCUACAAAUCUAAACAUUUGGGAAGAAUUUGCAGGCCUAUUGCAUAAGUGAUUUAUUUAAGUGAGUUAAAUUGUCUCAGAGCCUGUUUCAAGGAAAAAAGUGUUUUUCUCUCAUUUACAUGCACUCCCAUGAAGUAACUACCACAGGUUAUAUUCUUAUUUUUUAAAAACCAUAUUAUUUUACAAUAAGAAUAAUUCCUAUCAUCUUUUAAGCCUUUCAAUAUAUAAUAGGCACUGUGUUGAAGGGUUUACAUAUCUUGUCCCUUUUUAUAUACGUUAAUUCACUGAACUCUUCCAGUAACUUUACUGGGUCUUGUUUCCAUUUUAGAGAUGAGGACAUUGAGGCUCAGGGAAAUUAAAUAACUUAUCCAAAGUAUUUGACUGAUUAAGUGGUAGAAGAAGUCAAAAUGAAACCAUAGUUCCUAGAUAAAACCAUAUUUGGACAAGAGGUUCCUUGUAACCAGUUUUUAAAAUAUGUAACAUUCAUGAUGCAUUAACCAAUCAUUCUACCUAGAGCCAGAUGACCUAGAUUUAAACUUUGAUUCUUCCACUUGCCGGCAUAGGACUUUGAGCAAGCUGAAUCACAGGCAAAUCUCAUGAGACACCAAGAGCACCUGUCAAGCCACUGCAGUAGCUUCUGGCUGGGGCCAUUCUGCUGUGUGGAUGUUCAUGACCUAGCAGUUAUUACAUGUUUUGAACAUUACCCCUAAUCACUUGUACCCAUGAUGAAAUUAUUGGUAAGGGUAGAAGCCACCUCGUUAAA
Molecule: long non-coding RNA, 984 nt
Organism: Mustela erminea (ermine)
Lineage: Eukaryota; Metazoa; Chordata; Mammalia; Carnivora; Mustelidae
Exons: 2
Source: RefSeq, a predicted model, not a curated record